Lates calcarifer (barramundi perch) is the source of this 765-nucleotide long non-coding RNA. RefSeq lists it as uncharacterized. NCBI's taxonomy places the organism in Eukaryota, Metazoa, Chordata, Actinopteri, Centropomidae. The record is from RefSeq and is a predicted model, not a curated record. The transcript has 4 exons.
CACUCCACUGCUCUCCUUGUUUCUUUCAUUACUGCAGCUCUUUCUCUCUCCCCUUUGCACCCUUCCUCGCUCUGCCCCUUCCCUGCUCUCUGGUCCUUUUCAAAUGCAGUGGAGCAUGAUGGGCUGUUUCAGGGGGUCAUGCUACCAUGGAGAUGCUUGGACAGAUACAGGGAUUAGGAUGUGUCGAGCCAUGUCGUCUCUGUGAGGGAGCCAAGAGAUCACCUCCAAAACUGAUCCUCAAAGAGCUGACAGUGGGUAGCAGUGUCAAAAAUGACAAUGUGGAAACCUUGCUGUGUUUGUGUAGGUGUCACCACUUCGUCCACAUCAUCCACGAUCACAAAGUCUUCAUGCAAUGAAGAAGUUCGUUGAGACCAGGACAGAGACCUCCAGGAGGAGAAGAUGACGACAGCAGCUGAAGACCUGAAGUGGAUGAAAGAAAACAAGUGUUACGAAACUGUUAAUUAGAUAAGAGACGUCCACCAUCUAAAUACUGUAAACAGUGUUGGUUUCCUGUUGUUCAAGUGAAAACACUUUUCUCUGCCAUCUGUAAUGUAGUUAUGGGCACAUUUUCCAAAGACUAAUGUCUUCAUUAAACACCUGUGCUCAUAACUACAUUAAUCCUAACCAGCUCAAACCUCAUAAUGUCUGUGUAGGUUCUCAGUCAUCCAGGUCAUGGUAGUCCUAAGUGCUAAAGUUAAAGGCAACUGGACUUCUUUUAGGUUUCUUGAAGACAGUUCACCUCUCAUCCAAAAGGCUUCCUCAGGC